GACGAACGCUGGCGGCGUGCUUAACACAUGCAAGUCGAACGGAAAGGCCCUUCGGGGUACUCGAGUGGCGAACGGGUUAGUAACACGUGGGUGAUCUGCCCUGCACUUUGGGAUAAGCCUGGGAAACUGGGUCUAAUACCGAAUAGGACCACGCUCUUCAUGGUGUUUGGUGUAAAGCUUUUUCGGUGUGGGAUGGGCCCGCGGCCUAUCAGCUUGUUGUUGGGGUAAUGGCCUACAAAGGCGACGAAGGGUAGCCGGCCUGAGAGGGUGACUGGACACAAUGGGAAUGAGAGACGGACAAGACUGAUACGGGAGGCAGCAGUGGGGAAUAUUGAAAAAUGGGCGCAAGCCUGAUGCAGCGACGCCGCGUGAGGGAUGACGGCCUUAGGGUUGUAAACCUCUUUCACCAGGGACGAAGCGUAAGUGACGGUACCUGGAGAAGAAGCACCGGCCAACUACGUG
RNAcentral lists this ribosomal RNA (462 nucleotides) under uncultured bacterium. RNAcentral's name for it is "partial 16S ribosomal RNA". It matches the Rfam family "Bacterial small subunit ribosomal RNA", at positions 28 to 507 of the family's 1533-position model. The record is from RNAcentral.